GGCGAACGCUGGCGGCGUGCCUAAUACAUGCAAGUAGAACGCUGAAGGAGGAGCUUGCUCUUCUGGAUGAGUUGCGAACGGGUGAGUAACGCGUAGGUAACCUGCCUGAUAGCGGGGGAUAACUAUUGGAAACGAUAGCUAAUACCGCAUAACAGUAGAUGUUGCAUGACAUUUACUUAAAAGGUGCAAUUGCAUCACUACCAGAUGGACCUGCGUUGUAUUAGCUAGUUGGUGGGGUAACGGCUCACCAAGGCGACGAUACAUAGCCGACCUGAGAGGGUGAUCGGCCACACUGGGACUGAGACACGGCCCAGACUCCUACGGGAGGCAGCAGUAGGGAAUCUUCGGCAAUGGACGGAAGUCUGACCGAGCAACGCCGCGUGAGUGAAGAAGGUUUUCGGAUCGUAAAGCUCUGUUGUAAGAGAAGAACGAGUGUGAGAGUGGAAAGUUCACACUGUGACGGUAUCUUACCAGAAAGGGACGGCUAACUACGUG
RNAcentral lists this ribosomal RNA (495 nucleotides) under uncultured bacterium. RNAcentral describes it as "partial 16S ribosomal RNA". It matches the Rfam family "Bacterial small subunit ribosomal RNA", at positions 28 to 507 of the family's 1533-position model. The record is from RNAcentral.